CAGUAGCCGCGGUAAUACGAGGGGGGCAAGCGUUGUUCGGAAUUAUUGGGCGUAAAGGGCGCGUAGGCGGUUUGGCAAGUUUGGUGUGAAAUCUUCGGGCUCAACUCGAAGUCUGCACCGAAAACUGCCGGGCUUGAGUAUGGAAGAGGUGAGUGGAAUUCCGAGUGUAGAGGUGAAAUUCGUAGAUAUUCGGAGGAACACCAGUGGCGAAGGCGGCUUACUGGUCCAUUACUGACGCUGAGGUGCGAAAGCGUGGGGAGCAAACAGGAUUAGAGACCCCCGUAGUCCCUGUCUCUUAUAC
Molecule: ribosomal RNA, 301 nt
Filed under: uncultured bacterium
Lineage: Bacteria
Description: partial 16S ribosomal RNA
Rfam family: Bacterial small subunit ribosomal RNA
Source: RNAcentral